GAGUGGGCUCUCACCCUAUAUAAGAACGCAGCUGCAGUGAACCUUGUUCUUUCUGGCAGACCUGAGGUGUGGACGUAUCAUUGGCCUCUCAAGCAAGUUUAUUGCUGACAUUUAACAUGUGCUUGGAUGAUUGGAGGCCAACCUCUUGUAGGCAAGAAAGUCACAGUGAUGGCAGAUCCUCGCGAGGAGCUCAUACUGGGAUACUCAAAAUGGGGGCGCUUUCCUUUUUGUCUGUACUGGGAAGUGCUUCGAUUUUGGGGUGUCCCUGUUUGAGUAGGGCAUCACGAACCAUCCUGCUUCAAGGGAGCCUGCGGGUCUGACUGCAGCUUCAGCUAUGACCUGGAGUUCCCGGGCUUCUCUGCGGGGCACCAGUCUGUAUGCUCCAUUUUAGAUAAUAAAAAUUGGCAUAUUCUGGGGUGGGCAGGAUACGGGGUUCACCUGCAGAUGAACAGGGCAGGAAAAGCUUGAUGGGGUGUCGGGGGAAUCUGGUUGGCCUUAAAGGGAAUUUGGGGUCCUGUUCCUGAAUUUGGUAGGCAGCAUGCAUGUAAGGCUUGAAGUGGGUUUGGCCAGAGCAUGGGCUGGAGUGCUUCCACCCUGCUACACGGACAAUGCCACAGUCUCACUUUUCCUAACUUUUUUUUUUAAUAAAAUGUGAACAACA
Molecule: long non-coding RNA, 661 nt
Filed under: Homo sapiens (human)
Lineage: Eukaryota; Metazoa; Chordata; Mammalia; Primates; Hominidae
Description: novel transcript
Rfam family: mir-373 microRNA precursor family (bases 198-266)
Source: RNAcentral